This 244-nucleotide ribosomal RNA is filed under the name uncultured bacterium. Its description in RNAcentral is "partial 16S ribosomal RNA". It matches the Rfam family "Bacterial small subunit ribosomal RNA", at positions 113 to 353 of the family's 1533-position model. The record is from RNAcentral.
ACACGUGGGUAACCUGCCUUAUAGUGGGGGAUAGCCUUUCGAAAGGAAGAUUAAUACCGCAUAAGAUUGUAGUAUCGCAUGAUAUAGCAAUUAAAGGAGCAAUCCGCUAUAAGAUGGACCCGCGUCGCAUUAGCUAGUUGGUGAGGUAAUGGCUCACCAAGGCGACGAUGCGUAGCCGACCCGAGAGGGUGAUCGGCCACAUUGGGACUGAGACACGGCCCAGACUCCUACGGGAGGCAGCAUG